CUUCAGGAGGGAGAGAGAGGGGAGCAGACUGAGCAUGCUCACUCUGCUCCCCUCUCUCUCUCUCCUUCAGGAGGGAGAGGGGAGCCGACUGAGCAUGCUCAGUCUGCUCCCCUCUCUCUCUCUCCUUCAG
Xyrichtys novacula (pearly razorfish) is the source of this 130-nucleotide non-coding RNA. Lineage: Eukaryota; Metazoa; Chordata; Actinopteri; Labriformes; Labridae. The record is from the annotation of a GenBank genome assembly.